Lacerta agilis (Sand lizard) is the source of this 322-nucleotide long non-coding RNA. RefSeq lists it as uncharacterized. NCBI's taxonomy places the organism in Eukaryota, Metazoa, Chordata, Lepidosauria, Squamata, Lacertidae. The record is from RefSeq and is a predicted model, not a curated record. The transcript is spliced from 2 exons.
CCCCAGGCCACAAGGACACCCUGUUUGCUACAAUGAGUAUCCUCUCAGAUAAGGAUAUCCCUGCAGAAGAUGGAACAUCAAUAGGCUGGGGUGCCACAUUGCCUUGCUAUAUGAAGCCAGCACAGAGCAGGAAACCGCUGAAAUGGGAUGUCUGAUGUUGCAUUUUUGUCUCUUCGCCUUGCCAAAGAAAACGGAUCUCUAAGUAAAAGGAUGCAAGUUUGAGAGGGACUUUAUCGGAAGCUGUUCACCAAAGCAGGAUGUCAUGGAACCCCUUGCUGGGGCUCAAAAAUCUCAUGCAUUUUGAGAGGCAGUGGCAUGGAAG